This 578-nucleotide ribosomal RNA is filed under the name uncultured bacterium. RNAcentral's name for it is "bacterial SSU rRNA". It matches the Rfam family "Bacterial small subunit ribosomal RNA", at positions 78 to 675 of the family's 1533-position model. The record is from RNAcentral.
CUUCGGGUGUGUAUAGAGUGGCGAACGGGUGAGUAACACGUGACCAACCUGCCUCUUACAUUGGGACAACCAAAAGAAAUUCUGGCUAAUACCAAAUACUCCGCACAUAUCACAUGAUGUAUGCGGGAAAGCUUUUGCGGUAAGAGAUGGGGUCGCGGCCCAUUAGGUAGACGGCGGGGUAGAAGCCCACCGUGCCGAUGAUGGGUAGCCGGGUUGAGAGACCGACCGGCCACAUUGGGACUGAGAUACGGCCCAGACUCCUACGGGAGGCAGCAGUGGGGAAUAUUGCGCAAUGGGGGAAACCCUGACGCAGCAACGCCGCGUGCGGGAUGAAGGCCUUCGGGUUGUAAACCGCUUUCAGCAGGGAAGACAUCGACGGUACCUGCAGAAGAAGCCCCGGCUAACUACGUGCCAGCAGCCGCGGUAAUACGUAGGGGGCGAGCGUUAUCCGGAUUCAUUGGGCGUAAAGCGCGCGCAGGCGGUUGCUCAAGCGGAACCUCUAAUCUCGGGGCUUAACCUCGGGCCGGGUCCCGAACUGGACGACUCGAGUGCGGUAGAGGCAGAUGGAAUUCCCGGUG